This 490-nucleotide ribosomal RNA is filed under the name uncultured bacterium. RNAcentral's name for it is "partial 16S ribosomal RNA". It matches the Rfam family "Bacterial small subunit ribosomal RNA", at positions 30 to 507 of the family's 1533-position model. The record is from RNAcentral.
AUUGAACGCUGGCGGCAGGCCUAACACAUGCAAGUCGAAUGGUAACAGGAAACAGCUUGCUGUUUCGCUGACGAGUGGCGGACGGGUGAGUAAUGUCUGGGAAACUGCCUGAUGGAGGGGGAUAACUACUGGAAACGGUAGCUAAUACCGCAUAACGUCGCAAGACCAAAGAGGGGGACCUUCGGGCCUCUUGCCCUCAGAUGUGCCCAGAUGGGAUUAGCUAGUAGGUGGGGUAACGGCUCACCUAGGCGACGAUCCCUAGCUGGUCUGAGAGGAUGACCAGCCACACUGGAACUGAGACACGGUCCAGACUCCUACGGGAGGCAGCAGUGGGGAAUAUUGCACAAUGGGCGCAAGCCUGAUGCAGCCAUGCCGCGUGUAUGAAGAAGGCCUUCGGGUUGUAAAGUACUUUCAGCGGGGAGGAAGGGUGUAAAGUUAAUACCUUUGCUCAUUGACGUUACCCGCAGAAGAAGCACCGGCUAACUCCGUG